GAACUCACUAAACUUGGAACUAUGUUGGUGGCCAGAAAACCCAUAUGACUUUCUUGUCUCCAUCCUCCAGGGUGCUGGGGUGCAGGAAAGGAGAGCAUGAACACACUUCUCCUCUAAGUCUCCAAUUCUUCCAAUGAAUCUGAUGCGUGGGAUGAAGAGAGGAUAAUAAAGUCAAUCAGCAGAGAAGGGCUGGGUCCACUGUCCCUUUGGCAGCACCAUUUUCUACAUCCUGAAGAUGUGACCUCUCAGCUUCUUACUCUAGUCACCUGCUACAAUGACCCCUCUGUCAUUCUGAACUCUCCCUCUGGAAAUGUAAGACCAACAAACCUG
This is a long non-coding RNA of Peromyscus eremicus (cactus mouse), 330 nucleotides long. RefSeq lists it as uncharacterized. Lineage: Eukaryota; Metazoa; Chordata; Mammalia; Rodentia; Cricetidae. The transcript is spliced from 3 exons. The record is from RefSeq and is a predicted model, not a curated record.